CGGACGGGUGAGUAACACGUGGAUAACCUACCUAUAAGACUGGGAUAACUUCGGGAAACCGGAGCUAAUACCGGAUAAUAUAUUGAACCGCAUGGUUCAAUAGUGAAAGACGGUUUUGCUGUCACUUAUAGAUGGAUCCGCGCCGCAUUAGCUAGUUGGUAAGGUAACGGCUUACCAAGGCAACGAUGCGUAGCCGACCUGAGAGGGUGAUAGGCCACACUGGAACUGAGACACGGUCCAG
This 241-nucleotide ribosomal RNA is filed under the name uncultured Staphylococcus sp. Its description in RNAcentral is "partial 16S ribosomal RNA". It matches the Rfam family "Bacterial small subunit ribosomal RNA", at positions 99 to 334 of the family's 1533-position model. The record is from RNAcentral. Lineage: Bacteria; Bacillati; Bacillota; Bacilli; Caryophanales; Staphylococcaceae.